ACGAUAGUAAGUUAAUGGUAAACUCAAGCACUUCCAAUGCUUCAAUGCGUGUUCGAAUCACGUCCAUCGUA
This is a non-coding RNA of Lodderomyces oxycetoniae, 71 nucleotides long. NCBI's taxonomy places the organism in Eukaryota, Fungi, Ascomycota, Pichiomycetes, Serinales, Debaryomycetaceae. The record is from the annotation of a RefSeq genome assembly.